AUUUUUGGAACUAGGAGUUGGAAUA
RNAcentral lists this non-coding RNA (25 nucleotides) under Cricetulus griseus (Chinese hamster). The record is from RNAcentral. RNAcentral also lists the same sequence under 2 other names. Lineage: Eukaryota; Metazoa; Chordata; Mammalia; Rodentia; Cricetidae.